ACGGCUCAGUAACACGUGGACAACCUACCCUGAAGAGGGGGAUAACCCCGGGAAACUGGGGAUAAUACCCCAUAGACUAUGGAUGCUGGAAUGCUCUGUAGUUCAAAGGUCCGCCGCUUCAGGAUGGGUCUGCGGCCGAUUAGGUUGUUGUUGGGGUAACGGCCCAACAAGCCUGUAAUCGGUACGGGUUGUGGGAGCAAGAGCCCGGAGAUGGAUUCUGAGACACGAAUCCAGGCCCUACGGGGCGCAGCAGGCGCGAAAACUUUGCAAUGCGAGAAAUCGUGACAAGGGAACUCCGAGUGCCUGUAAAAUCAGGCUGUCCGCCAGUGUAAACAACUGGUGAAGAAAGGGCCGGGCAAGACCGGUGCCAGCCGCCGCGGUAAUACCGGCGGCUCGAGUGGUGGCCACUAUUACUGGGCUUAAAGCGUUCGUAGCUGAUCUGUUAAGUCUCUGGGGAAAUCUUCCGGCUUAACCGGAAGGCGUCUCAGGGAUACUGGCAGACUAGGGACCGGAAGAGGUGAGAGGUACUCCAGGGGUAGGAGUGAAAUCCUGUAAUCCUUGGGGGACCACCUGUGGCGAAGGCGUCUCACCAGGACGGCUCCGACAGUGAGGAACGAAAGCUGGGGGAGCAAACCGGAUUAGAUACCCGGGUAGUCCCAGCUGUAAACGAUGCGCGUUAGGUGUAUCGGUGACCACGAGUCACCGAGGUGCCGAAGAGAAAUCGUGAAACGCGCCGCCUGGGAAGUACGGUCGCAAGGCUGAAACUUAAAGGAAUUGGCGGGGGAGCAC
This 789-nucleotide ribosomal RNA is filed under the name uncultured archaeon. Its description in RNAcentral is "bacterial SSU rRNA". It matches the Rfam family "Archaeal small subunit ribosomal RNA", at positions 85 to 879 of the family's 1478-position model. The record is from RNAcentral.